AUGAUACUUUUUCUUUAUGACCAGCAAAUUGAGGUGCCAGAUAAUAUAGGUCACCUGAAGGACAAGCCGUCAGAAUCGGAGCUCAGAGCCGCUCAGCCCGGCCGCCAGCUCGUUAGGGAACCGCACACUCAGCUCCCACCCAGCUCGGGACGCCCAGCGGGAGCCUCCCUUGCAAACACCAGCAGACACCAUUUUGCAGAACUCUUAAGAAACGCGGGUUAAAUGUGUUAGGUACAACGCAUGCAGCCACGACGGGCAUGGAAAGCGAGAGGGCUGGCCCGGGGAGAAGCAAACCUCCUGAGGUUGGGAUUGCUCUUGCUGGGGGCUUUGUAAACAGCCUUGCAUCUCACACCUCUGCCAGGCAACAAAAUGGUGGUGGCUCUAAAAAAUAAAUAAAUAAAUAAACGACGCGGGGGUGGGGGGAAGGUGGCACCAGGUAGGUACCAGAGAUGGACUUUUAUACAAUUUUCUUGGGCUGCCGGUUACCAACAGUUGUUCUCUCUCUUUUUCUUUCUUCCUUUCUUUCUCUGUCUCUGUCUCUCUUUCUCCACCCCCUCCCCCUCUCUCUCUCUUCCUCCUCCCUCCCUCUCUCUUAUUCUCCUUGCUAUAUUCUCUGCAGUAAUCUUCCCCGUUCUACUGAAGGGGGCGAAAGACCCAACUGAUUUGACUCCAGUUCCUCCUCCUCAGCCUUGCCAAUUCCUAAUUAAGCAUACUUUCUGAUUUGUUUCUAUGUAUCUUAAGGGGUGAGGUGCUGAGGCAAGUUACGAGUUUGGGUUACCUUGUUUGCCUGUUUUGGUGCAUUGAACAUAUUUACGAGAUGAAAAAGCUCCUUUCUAAGUGGGUGUUAACUGCUGUAAGAUUCCCAGAAAACGUGUUGAAGGGACAUCUAAACGGAAAAUGUGCAGUAUUACUCCAUUGCACCUUUUAGAAUAAAACAAGCAUUGUGGCUACUCUGUUGGGCUCUGGUGGCAGUGUGGCAGCGAGCGAUUUGUGUGACUGCGGCACAUUCGUUUUCCUUUUCUAUUAUAAUCCCACCUUCCUUAAGGAAUAAAUGAGAGCGUACAGCAAAGAGCUAAGCAAAGUUGCAUGACACAGCUUCGGUAAAUGGCAGCUAUCACUGUUUUAUUAUGUCUUUGCUUCAAGCUCUCUCCCUGGGCCUGGAGCUCAGCUUCUGCGCACAAAUGCUUGAUGGAGAGAGCUCUGUGUUAUCUGAACCUAGAAAUUCUACAGCAGAGGUUUGGCUCCACCUCACCAUUGAUUUCCUUUCCGUGAUUUUGUAAGUCAUCGCUUUGUGAUGCAAUUUCUCUGUAUGAAACAAAUGAAUAUUUUUUUUUUACCACCCCUUCUGAGACUGUUGAUAAAACACACUCGACAAAUGUUUACGGCACCCUUGUGAGGCACUAAGGAAUGAGGAGAAAUCCACACCUAACCACCACCACCAGGCAUCCCAGUGUGCUCAGGGCAGCGCCAGUUUUUGCCGAAGUAUUAAAAGCCCCUCCUUUCAUUCCCCCAAGUGUCUUUGAUGGGCUGGUUAGUUAUAAGGUCACCCUAUAGAAAACAUAACGCCAGGCCUAGAGAAAGUCAGAGUCAGGGUGAGAGAAGAGACUGGAAGGAGGAGGUGGGCACUGGAGACCAGAUAACCAGAGAGACAACAGAUAGAUACAUAGAUAGACAGGUCAUAGAGAUACAUAGAGAGAUAAGAAAGAUGAUAGAUAAGACACACAGAUGAUAGAUAGAUAGACGAUAGAUACAUACAAUAUAUAGAGAUGAGUAGAUAAAGAUAGGUACAGUCAGGAAUGGUGGCUCAUGCCUGUAAUCCCAGCACUUUGGCAGUCUGAGGCAGGAGGAUCACUUGAGUACAGAGUUUGAGACCAGCCUGGGCAACGUAAUGGGACCCAGUCUCUAUUAAAUAAAUUUUUUAAAAGAUAGAUAAGUAAUAGGUACAUAAAUAGAUGACAGACACAUAGAUACAUAAUACAUACAUAGAUGAUAGAUUGAUGGAAAAUAGAGGAUGGAUAGAUAGAUGGUAGAUAUAUACAUAUAGAUGGAUAGAUAAAGAUAGAUAAGUAAUCGAAACAAACAGAUACAUAGGUACAUACAUCAAAAGAUAAAGGAUAGAUGGAUAGAAAGAUGGCUGGAUGGAUGGACAGAUAAAUAGAUACAUAGAGAUUAAGAGAAGGAGAAAUGAAGCUAAAUGAAGCUUCAUUUAGCUGAGAAACUGAAUGACCACGGGGAAAUGUGUCAUCUUUCUAAGUCGCUGCUGCUUCAUGGGGAAAGCAGGGACCACUGAGUCAGGCCUGCUUCCAGGGUGUGUAGCUGAUGAAAUGACAGGUACCUGAAUACCUGGCACAGGACCUGUCAACAGGCAGCUAAGGCAUAGCAAAGAAAGCGUUUGCCUUCUUAAGAACCAAAGAGGAAACCUCAAAAGAAAACCAUCAUCAUACAUAAAGUUAUGUGUCAUUUCCAAAAAUAUAAUUAUCUUAUGCUUUAUUAUAUAUUUUUUUUUAAUUUUUUUUUUUUUUUUUGAGACGGAGUCUGUCUCUGUCGCCCGCGCUGGAGUGCAGUGGUGCGAUCUUGGCUCACUGCAAGCGCCACCUCCCAGUUUCCUGCCGUAUUGGUGCUCCGUGAAUACUUGUUAAUGGAUGAUGGGCGGAUCUAGGGGUCCUGUGCUGCUCUGU
This 2678-nucleotide long non-coding RNA is filed under the name Macaca mulatta (Rhesus monkey). Its description in RNAcentral is "lncRNA (ENSMMUG00000063562.1)". Lineage: Eukaryota; Metazoa; Chordata; Mammalia; Primates; Cercopithecidae. The record is from RNAcentral.